GCAGCACGGAAAUGUGAAUCCAGUCUCCGGGGCCACUGAAAGCUGCCCACCACUUGCCCAACUCCUUCUAAAGGGCCUGCAGUUCUAGGAACAGGACACAGUCUGAGCACUGCACGGUAGCGCUCACCCCCUCUUUCCCCUUCGCCAUUCCUGCAGCUCUUGCCUUCUUCCAUGGGCCACCAGCUCCAGCUAUCUCUGAUCCCUGUCCCCCAUGAACUCUCUGCCUUUCCUGCCCUCCCCCACCCACCACACAGAGGAAUCCAGAUGCCUUGCACACGUGACUCCUCUGAGCUGGGCAGAGGACCCUGGCCAGGCCCAGACAACAUAAAUACAUCCUGAGAGUUUACAUUGUGUGGGCCGUCCACGCUGCCUUUAUGAGCUGUAACACUCACCGCGAAGGUCUGCAGCUUCACUCCUGAAGCCAGCGAGACUACGAGCCCACCGGGAGGAACAGACAACUCCAGACGCGCCGCCCUAAGAACUGUAACACUCACCGCGAAGGUCUGCAGCUUCACCCCUAAGCCAGCGAGACCACGAACCCACCAGAAGGAAGAAACUCUGAACACAUCUGAACAUCAGAAGGAACAAACUCUGGACACGCUGUCUUUAAGAACUGUAACACUCACCGCG
RNAcentral lists this long non-coding RNA (630 nucleotides) under Homo sapiens (human). Its description in RNAcentral is "HSALNT0334360". Lineage: Eukaryota; Metazoa; Chordata; Mammalia; Primates; Hominidae. The record is from RNAcentral.